GGGGAAUAUUGGGCAAUGGGGGAAACCCUGACCCAGCAACGCCGCGUGAGUGAAGAAGGCCUUCGGGUUGUAAAGCUCUGUCAUUAGGGAAGAAGAAAGUGACGGUACCUAAUGAGGAAGCCCCGGCUAACUACGUGCCAGCAGCCGCGGUAAUACGUAGGGGGCGAGCGUUGUCCGGAAUUACUGAGCGUAAAGGGUGCGUAGGUGGCUUAUUAAGUUGGAUGUGAAAUACCCGGGCUUAACCCGGGGGGUGCAUUCAAAACUGGUAGGCUAGAGUGCAGGAGAGGAAAGCGGAAUUCCUAGUGUGGCGGUGAAAUGCGUAGAUAGUAGGAGGAACACCAGUGGCGAAGGCGGCUUUCUGGACUGUAACUGACACUGAGGCACGAAAGCGUGGGGAGCAAAC
This 403-nucleotide ribosomal RNA is filed under the name uncultured bacterium. RNAcentral describes it as "bacterial SSU rRNA". It matches the Rfam family "Bacterial small subunit ribosomal RNA", at positions 356 to 773 of the family's 1533-position model. The record is from RNAcentral.